UGGAAAAUCCAAUCAAAUCGAAUCUUCAAAAUUUCUUCAAAAGAAAAUUCGAUUUAACUUCUAAAACCAAGAAGCAAAACAGAGAGAUGGGGGUGACAAAAGAGCAAGUGGAAUCUACUUUGACUUCUAAACUCAACCCUUCUUAUUUUAUUUGAAACGGUAUCAGUUGUAAGAAUGCGUGUUGUUGUAAUUCUGCAUCAAUCUGCAUUCUGCAAGCUUCUUUGAGUAUAAAUGCUGGAAGUUCAAGGUUUUUUUCAGAGGAUAAUUCCACUGAUAUGCCUUUAAAUUUGGCUAAAAUUCGGAUAAGUUUGUAUUAUUUAGUUUCUUCUUGUGGUUGCUUACGAAAGUUAAGGGACUGGAGAGUUUUAAAGGAGGUUCUUGAUGAACUUUGGGGAAAAUAGAUUUCUGCUUGAUUAAUGAAAUGUUAAAGGCCAUUCAUAGGCUUUGCUUGUUCUUAACAUUCCAAAUGGGUAACCCCUUUGGUCGGUCUUAUUGAGACAUCCUGUUUUGAACAUAUGUAUGGGAAGUAUCAUCUUGCUGAAUUUUUCUUGUCAUUGCAUUAAUAGACAAAGAAGAAUUCAAGAAAUUGUGG
Molecule: long non-coding RNA, 592 nt
Organism: Mangifera indica (mango)
Lineage: Eukaryota; Viridiplantae; Streptophyta; Magnoliopsida; Sapindales; Anacardiaceae
Exons: 2
Source: RefSeq, a predicted model, not a curated record